GUUCCCCGUAGGCUGUCGGCUCCCCCCCUCCCCCUCCCCUCCUGCUCCCUUACGGUGGCCUAGCCUGUGGCAUCUCUUGUCGGACGAUCGGACCAGCACGGUAUUCAAUACCAAUUUAAGAUCGUUGUUUUGGAGGAAUGAGAAGCACCCCAGAAAGUCUUGGCUGACAACUGCUAUGUUUGAUAUCUGCCUUAAGUUUGGUUAAAGCCGGCCCAUCCAGAGCUUCUCAUAAUUUAUGUCAUUACUCUUUAAUUACAAUGGUUACAUUGAAGAGGCGGCAUGAAAAUGAUAAUUCGAUUAUAAUUGAGAACCCCACUUGUUGUUUGAAGUGGGCGGCAACAGCUCAAGAACAUAAAAAUAUGUCUGUUCUGGACUUCCAGUUAUUGACGGAGUCACUAACUUCAUUACAUCUCCUUUUGUUUACAAUUUUAGAUAAAUACAAGUAAUUUGGAGAUGGAGCAAUAUGUGGCCCUCGUUUAUGAUUCUGGACACCACAUUUUGGUUUUGAGUUGCCCGAAGCAGUCACUGAAGACUAUUUUUGUUUUGUUCUGAUCUCAACAUUGUCGAUAGAGUCCAACUCAUCACUGCAUCUUCUUUUAUGGACUAUUUUUAUAAAAUACAACUUAUCAAGAAAUGGAGUAAUAUGUAGUUAUGGAUCACCACAUUUAUAACUUCAUGUUUCCCGCAGCAGCCACUGAAAACAACUUUUGUUUUGUUUUGAUCAGGACAUGUCCACAGUGCACAGUCCACUUCAUCACAACAACUAUUUUAUGGAAUAUUUAAACAAAAUACAAGUGGUGUAGAGAUGUCAAUAUCAACCAACAUUCUGCAUGAACUAUUUCAGCGAAAUGUGAAAAAUCUUUGUGUUUAGUUAAGCUACAGUACACUUUUCAAUUAGAACUUUCUGCCAAGUUUUCUUUUUAACUGAUGAAAUUAAUUACUGUGUUAACUACAUCAAUAAAUGUACAUUUCAAUCUC
RNAcentral lists this long non-coding RNA (978 nucleotides) under Thrips palmi. Its description in RNAcentral is "uncharacterized LOC117645211". The record is from RNAcentral. Lineage: Eukaryota; Metazoa; Arthropoda; Insecta; Thysanoptera; Thripidae.